AGAAAAUUAGUUAAAUAUAACGUUAAUAUGUCAUAUUAAAAUAAUUGAUUAUCAAUAUUUUCUG
Molecule: transfer RNA, 64 nt
Filed under: Pulchriphyllium giganteum
Lineage: Eukaryota; Metazoa; Arthropoda; Insecta; Phasmatodea; Phylliidae
Description: tRNA-Asp
Source: RNAcentral